Oryza glumipatula is the source of this 200-nucleotide non-coding RNA. The record is from Rfam. NCBI's taxonomy places the organism in Eukaryota, Viridiplantae, Streptophyta, Magnoliopsida, Poales, Poaceae.
AAAAAGACAAACCCUGGAUUUCCGUGUCCAACUUUGACGGUCCGUCUUAUAUGAAAUUUUUUUAUAAUUCGUAUUUUCAUUAUUGUUAGAUGAUAAAACAUGAUUAAUAUUUUAUGCGUGACUUGUCUUUUUAUUUUUUUUUAUAAUUUGAAAGACGGAUGGUCAAACGUUAGGCACAGAAACUAGUGUUUGUCUUUUUU